UACGGAGGAUGCGAGCGUUAUCCGGAUUUAUUGGGUUUAAAGGGUGCGCAGGCGGGUCUUUAAGUCAGCGGUAAAAUUGCGGGGCUCAACCCCGUACGGCCGUUGAAACUGGAGGUCUUGAGUGGGCGAGAAGUAUGCGGAAUGCGUGGUGUAGCGGUGAAAUGCAUAGAUAUCACGCAGAACCCCGAUUGCGAAGGCAGCAUACCGGCGCCCGACUGACGCUCAGGCACGAAAGUGCGGGGAUCGAACAGG
This 252-nucleotide ribosomal RNA is filed under the name uncultured bacterium. RNAcentral's name for it is "partial 16S ribosomal RNA". It matches the Rfam family "Bacterial small subunit ribosomal RNA", at positions 524 to 776 of the family's 1533-position model. The record is from RNAcentral.